This 1306-nucleotide ribosomal RNA is filed under the name uncultured bacterium. RNAcentral's name for it is "bacterial SSU rRNA". It matches the Rfam family "Bacterial small subunit ribosomal RNA", at positions 28 to 1381 of the family's 1533-position model. The record is from RNAcentral.
AACGUACGCUGGCGGCACGCCUAACACAUGCAAGUCGAACGAAGUAGCAAUACUUAGUGGCAGACGGGUGAGUAACAUGUAGGUAUCUGCCCUUUGGCCUGGAAUAACACGAGGAAACUUGUGCUAAUACCGGAUAAGUCUUUACGGAGAAAGCUUUAUGCACCAUUGGAUGAGCCUGCACUUGAUUAGUUUGUUGGUGGGGUAAUGGCCUACCAAGACUGUGAUCAAUAGCUGAUUUGAGAGGAUGAUCAGCCACAUUGGGACUGAGACACGGCCCAAACUCCUACGGGAGGCAGCAGUGGGGAAUCUUGCACAAUGGAGGAAACUCUGAUGCAGCGAUGCCGCGUGAGUGAAGAAGGCCCUUGGGUUGUAAAGCUCUUUCGUCGGGGAAGAAAAUGACUGUACCCGAAUAAGAAGGUCCGGCUAACUUCGUGCCAGCAGCCGCGGUAAUACGAAGGGACCUAGCGUAGUUCGGAAUUACUGGGCUUAAAGAGUUCGUAGGUGGUUGAAAAAGUUAGUGGUGAAAUCCCAGAGCUUAACUCUGGAACUGCCAUUAAAACUUUUCAGCUAGAGUAUGAUAGAGGAAAGCAGAAUUUCUAGUGUAGAGGUGAAAUUCGUAGAUAUUAGAAAGAAUACCAAUUGCGAAGGCAGCUUUCUGGAUCAUUACUGACACUGAGGAACGAAAGCAUGGGUAGCGAAGAGGAUUAGAUACCCUCGUAGUCCAUGCCGUAAACGAUGUGUGUUAGACGUUGGAAAUUUAUUUUCAGUGUCGCAGGGAAACCGAUAAACACACCGCCUGGGGAGUACGACCGCAAGGUUAAAACUCAAAUGAAUUGACGGGGACCCGCACAAGUAGUGGAGCAUGUGGUUUAAUUCGAAGAUACGCGCAGAACCUUACCAACACUUGACAUGUUCGUCGCGACUCUAAGAGAUUAGAGUUUUCGGUUCGGCCGGACGAAACACAGGUGCUGCAUGGCUGUCGUCAGCUCGUGUCGUGAGAUGUUGGGUUAAGUCCCGCAACGAGCGCAACCCUCACUUUUAGUUGCCAUCAUUAAGUUGGGCACUCUGAAAGAACUGCCAGUGAUAAGCUGGAGGAAGGUGGGGAUGACGUCAAGUCCUCAUGGCCCUUACGUGUUGGGCUACACACGUGCUACAAUGGUAUCUGCAACAGGAAGCAAGACUGCGAAGUUAAGCAAAUCCCUAAAAGAUACCUCAGUUCGGAUUGCACUCUGCAACUCGAGUGCAUGAAGCUGGAAUUACUAGUAAUCGUGGAUCAGCGUGCCACGGUGAAUGCGUUCCCGGGUCU